This 220-nucleotide long non-coding RNA is filed under the name Gossypium barbadense (sea-island cotton). RNAcentral describes it as "long non-coding RNA (GBAR_LNC004337)". Lineage: Eukaryota; Viridiplantae; Streptophyta; Magnoliopsida; Malvales; Malvaceae. The record is from RNAcentral.
GCCUGGACUGGUAAUUCAGAUCCAAGCUCAUUAGAGUAAUUGUCGUUGCAGGGGAUUUAGCCUGGACUGGUAAUCCCGACAAUACUCUAUGAGUUUAUAUUGCAGGGGAUUUAGCCUGGACUGGUAAUCCCGCUGCAAGGAUGAGGUUCGCGGGAGUGUGCUCUCUGAUAUGAAAUGUGUAAGACCAUGGUUGAAAGAUACCAUGGCAACUUGAUAUGAA